ACGCACGGUCUUACCACCCUGAACGUCCCCGAUCUCCUCUGAUCUCGGAACCUAAGCACGGUCGGGCCUGGUUAGUACCUGGACUGGAGACCACCUGGGGGUAUCGGUUGCUGUAGGCU
RNAcentral lists this ribosomal RNA (119 nucleotides) under Ornithorhynchus anatinus (platypus). The record is from RNAcentral. Lineage: Eukaryota; Metazoa; Chordata; Mammalia; Monotremata; Ornithorhynchidae.